GGAAUCUUCCACAAUGGGCGAAAGCCUGAUGGAGCAAUACCGCGUGAGUGAAGAAGGUCUUCGGAUCGUAAAGCUCUGUUGUUAGAGAAGAAUAAGAGGUGUAGUAACUGGCACCUCCUUGACGGUAUCUAACCAGAAAGUCACGGCUAAAUACGUGCCAGCAGCCGCGGUAAUACGUAGGUGACAAGCGUUGUCCGGAUUUAUUGGGCGUAAAGCGAGCGCAGGCGGUCUUUUAAGUCUGAUGUGAAAGCCCACGGCUCAACCGUGGAUGGUCAUUGGAAACUGGAAGACUUGAAUGCAGAAGAGGAAAGUGGAAUUCCAUGUGUAGCGGUGAAAUGCGUAGAUAUAUGGAGGAACACCAGUGGCGAAGGCGACUUUCUGGUCUGUAAUUGACGCUGAGGCUCGAAAGCGUGGGGAGCAAACAGG
Molecule: ribosomal RNA, 426 nt
Filed under: uncultured bacterium
Lineage: Bacteria
Description: bacterial SSU rRNA
Rfam family: Bacterial small subunit ribosomal RNA
Source: RNAcentral